This 253-nucleotide ribosomal RNA is filed under the name uncultured bacterium. RNAcentral describes it as "partial 16S ribosomal RNA". It matches the Rfam family "Bacterial small subunit ribosomal RNA", at positions 524 to 776 of the family's 1533-position model. The record is from RNAcentral.
UACAGAGGGUGCGAGCGUUAAUCGGAAUUACUGGGCGUAAAGGGCGUGUAGGCGGUGACAUGAGGGUGAUGUGAAAGCCCUGGGCUUAACCUAGGAAGUGCAUUGCAAACGAUGUUACUGGAGUAUAUGAGAGGGUGGCGGAAUUUCCGGUGUAGCGGUGAAAUGCGUAGAGAUCCGGAGGAAGACCGGUGGCGAAGGCGGCCUGCUGGGCAGUUUCUGACACUGAGGCGCGACAGCGUGGGGAGCAAACAGG